This 1414-nucleotide long non-coding RNA is filed under the name Olea europaea subsp. europaea. The record is from RNAcentral. Lineage: Eukaryota; Viridiplantae; Streptophyta; Magnoliopsida; Lamiales; Oleaceae.
UACGUCUUAAAUAUUGAAUGUUAGGGUGAUCUAUUCUAUAAUGCCACGAUAGAAUAUCGCUCUCUCUAGAGACAAACAUAGAAUCAUAAAUUGCAGUUCGACAUUGCUUAUUCACAUCAGCCUCUUUAAAGUAAUAAAGCCUCUCACAUUUUUUAGCACUGUCAAUCGUCUUCCUCGAUGAUAGGUCUUGAAAGACACAACAAGAUUGAGAAAAUUUAGCGGAGCAAUUGGAGUCUUUAGUUAAUUUGCUGACAGAUAAGAAAUUACAAGACAAGUUUGGAACAUGAAGAACUGAUUUUCAGGUUAUAAUUCAGAGAAAUGAAUACUUUUUUCUGGAACAAAUGAGAGUGAUUCAUCUGUAAUCUUAACUUUGAUAUUGCUAGCACAUGGCGCGUAUGACAUGAACAAAUGGUAAGAAUCUAUCAUGUGAUUGGAAGCUCCUAAGUCAAUAAUCCAAGGAGUAUUAUAUUUUGAAGAGAUACUUAAGGCUUUCAGAAAUCUACCUUUGUGGGCUAAGGAACUUGAAGGAGUGUGUGUAGAGGAUUGACUCGACUUUGAAGGUUGGAAAAAGUCUGAUAGAGUUGCUCCAGCUGUUCAUUGUUGAAUGCUCCACCUUUCAUUUCUUUGGGGUUCCCUGCUUGAUUGGCAAGGCUUGAUAGCAUUUUUAAUAUUCUGUCUUGGUUUCCAAUCAAUGGGCUUCCCAUAUAUAUCCCAACACUUUAUGUCUGGGUUUUCGACAAUGUUUGCACCAGGAUCAUCCCUUUUGUUUUUUGGCCUGGUCCAUGAGUAGCUCCCUUUGGUAAAUCUCCAAUUCCAGGCCCAAAUCCAGCAAGCCCAACUUUUGAGGACCUAUUAUUACUAACAUUUCCAAAAUUGCCCAAUCCAUUAAUAGGCCCAUAACUUGAGUUAUUAGGUCCAAUGUAAGUUGGCCUAAUACCAGCCAUAGAAGAUGAAAAUGGCUCAAGCUGUGAUGGAACUAAAUCAUAUUUUUCGACCCAACAACAGAAGAUAGAAGUGCCGACGCCUGUACAUCACCGAUCGUCCCUAUCUUCAUCAUUAUUUUUCCACAAUUCCUCCCGUCUCACCUCAGCGAAGACUUCUUGUGUCGGAGGCAGUGGUCUUCGACCCAGAAUUCGGCCUCUGACCUCGUCCAAGUCACGAUUCAGGCCUACGAGGAACUCAUACACUUGGUCAUUUUCUAGCCUUUUCUUGUAUUUUACGCUGUCUUUUGAGCAUUCCCAAUCUUCUUCGCUGCUAAGAUUGAGUUCUUGCCAAAGAGAGGUCAUUUCCAAGAAAUAGUCGGUAACAUCUCUUUCUCCCUGUUUUGUUUGCCAUAAUCGUGUUUUGAUUUCAAAUAUUUGGGAUGAAUUUUCUGAGUCCGAAUACGUCUUCUUGAUAGCAUCCCAAACGUCCU